Molecule: ribosomal RNA, 1017 nt
Filed under: uncultured bacterium
Lineage: Bacteria
Description: bacterial SSU rRNA
Rfam family: Bacterial small subunit ribosomal RNA
Source: RNAcentral
AGUGAGGAAUAUUGGUCAAUGGGGGCAACCCUGAACCAGCCAUGCCGCGUGGAGGAAGACGGCCCUAUGGGUUGUAAACUCCUUUUAUACAGGAAUAAAUGUUGUUACGUGUAGCGAUUUGAAUGUACUGUAUGAAUAAGCAUCGGCUAACUCCGUGCCAGCAGCCGCGGUAAUACGGAGGAUGCAGGCGUUAUCCGGAUUUAUUAGGUUUAAAGGGUGCGCAGGCGGUCUAUUAAGUCAGUGUUGAAAGUUUGCAGCUUAACUGUAAAAUUGGCAUUGAAACUGGUAGACUUGAAUAUGGUAGAGGUAGGCGGAAUGUGUAGUGUAGCGGUGAAAUGCUUAGAUAUUACACAGAACACCAAUUGCGAAGGCAGCUUACUAUCCCAUUAUUGACGCUGAGGCACGAAAGCGUGGGUAGCGAACAGGAUUAGAUACCCUGGUAGUCCACGCCGUAAACGAUGAUAACUGGUUGUGUGCGAUACACAGUGCGCGACUGAGGGAAACCAUUAAGUUAUCCACCUGGGGAGUACGUUCGCAAGAAUGAAACUCAAAGGAAUUGACGGGGGCCCGCACAAGCGGAGGAACAUGUGGUUUAAUUCGAUGAUACGCGAGGAACCUUACCUGGACUUAAAUGUAGAGUGCAUUCAUUAGAAAUAGUGAUUUCCUUCGGGACUCUUUACAAGGUGCUGCAUGGUUGUCGUCAGCUCGUGCCGUGAGGUGUCGGGUUAAGUCCCAUAACGAGCGCAACCCCUAUCGUUAGUUGCUAGCAGGUAAUGCUGAGGACUCUAACGAAACUGCCGGUGUAAACCGAGAGGAAGGUGGGGAUGACGUCAAAUCAGCACGGCCCUUAUGUCCAGGGCUACACACGUGUUACAAUGGAUGGUACAAAGAGCUGCUACUAGGUGACUAGAUGCUAAUCUUCAAAGCCAUUCUCAGUUCGGAUCGGAGUCUGCAACUCGACUCCGUGAAGUUGGAUUCGCUAGUAAUCGUAGAUCAGCAAUGCUACGGUGAAUACGU